GUUCUCACUUCGGUAGCACAUAUACUAAAACUGGAAUGAUACAGAGAAGACUAGCAUGGCCCCUAAACAAGGAUGACAUGCAAAUUCGUGAAGUAUUCCUAUUUUUA
Molecule: small nuclear RNA, 107 nt
Organism: Rhinolophus ferrumequinum (greater horseshoe bat)
Lineage: Eukaryota; Metazoa; Chordata; Mammalia; Chiroptera; Rhinolophidae
Source: Ensembl